Molecule: ribosomal RNA, 407 nt
Filed under: uncultured bacterium
Lineage: Bacteria
Description: partial 16S ribosomal RNA
Rfam family: Bacterial small subunit ribosomal RNA
Source: RNAcentral
AUUGAACGCUGGCGGCAGGCCUAACACAUGCAAGUCGAGCGGAGCGGCGGGCGGGUGGGUGAGGCCUAGGAAUCUACCUGGUAGUGGGGGAUAAAGUCCGGAAACGGACGGUAAUAACGCAUGCUAUCAAAUAGGCCUAGGUCGGAUUAGCUAGUUGGUGGGGUAAAGGCCUACCAAGGCGACCAUCCGUAACUGGUCUGAGAGGAUGAUCAGUCACACUGGAACUGAGACACGGUCCAGACUCCUACGGGAGGCAGCAGUGGGGAAUAUUGGACAAUGGGCGAAAGCCUGAUCCAGCCAUGCCGCGUGUGUGAAGAAGGUCUUCGGAUUGUAAAGCACUUUAAGUUGGGAGGCGUUACCAACAGAAUAAGCACCGGCUAACUUCGUGCCAGCAGCCGCGGUAAUAC